AUUCCGGCAGCAGCUACACACUGCCCUCAUACCUCUGGAAGCUGCCCACAGCUGAAUAUGUUUCUAAUCCUAAAUUGCAAAUCUUCUUCUGUUUUUUUUUUCCUGCCAUAGAUCUAGUCCCCUGAUCUCAAGCAAAAGACUACAGUACAACUUCGGAAAACUAAAAAAGCAAAACAAAACAAAAAACCUGAAAUUCAGCUGCAGACUCUCAUUUAUUGCUGUUUCCAAGUUCAGUAUCCAGCAUCUCCAGCUGGGAAAGACUCCCUGAAAUACUGAAAACCUGCUGGCAAUCAGCGCAGAGAAUCAUGAACAAGAGAAGACUCUUCAUGCGAUUCCUUGUUGCACUUGUUUCCGCUGUUUCUCACAUAGUGAUGUCAACCUUCAUCAAAGUAGUCAAUCCAUGUUACAGCUAACAAAAUGGACGUGGUCAGUCUUGAGCACAGUGUUUUCAGAGUGGAUGAAAUUUCCAGUCACGUCCAUGGGGUGAAGGGACCCCACCCUCGCCAACAAUUGAAUCAAGGUCAGCCCCAGCUCCGUUCCUGAUUAUAUGCCAUAUUCCAGAGGGUGACCAAUAUAUAUCUCUUUUACUGCUGUGCUUCAACACUAAGAGAAGAAAGAGCCAUGAAUAAUCAGCCUCACCCGAGUAACAUCACGCCAGGGUUGCCGGGAGCGUCAGCACCGAUUUCCCAAGAUUAGAGGCCUGUGAAGGAGCU
Non-coding RNA from Pogona vitticeps (central bearded dragon), 713 nucleotides. Lineage: Eukaryota; Metazoa; Chordata; Lepidosauria; Squamata; Agamidae. The record is from RefSeq and is a predicted model, not a curated record.